UACCUUUAUUUUCUCGUUAGUCACACGUUCCAUUUUCUCUGUAUGACAAUGAAUGGAGAAUGAGUUAUAUUGAGAAUGGUAUAAGUUGAUGCCAAUGUGUACGAGUGGGAGAUGUUGCAUUUAAAUGUGGUGCAUCCACAUAACAUGCAACUUUAUUAGUUAUUUGUGGAUAAUUAACUAAUAUUCAAUUUAUUAAUAUUAUAUAUUAUUUUGAUAUAACUUAAUUGAAUAAUUAAUAAAAAAUGUUUGAGAUAGGAUAAAUUUAAAUUUAAUUUGUUUAAAUUUAAAUUAUCUAUCCAUUGUAUUUAAAUUUAAUUUGUUUAAUUUUAAAUAUAAUAUUUUAUAUCUAUAUCCCUAAUACAUUUAUAAAUAGUGAAUAGACGUACUAGUUUUAACACACAGUCAAAGAGUGAAUGCGAAUUCUUUUGUAAGUCAAAAAAAUAAAAAAAUCUUUUUUCUCUUUUUUUCUUUCUUUUCAUUCUUGAGAUACCAUCAAAGAUUAAAAAGUUUUGAAACAUAUAAUUCUUUGUAAAGAACUUUAAUAACUGCUUCAUAACAUCGAGAGUAAAAAAAUUAUUGUACACAAAUGAAAAUUUGUAAAGUAAACUUCUUCUAUCCGAAAGAGAAUAAAAUAUUCUAUUGAAAAAGUAAAUCCACGUUCCAACAGCAAUCGUAUCUUUUCCUUACAAUGUGUUGAUGAACCUGUACUCAGUGACUGCAGAAUAUGACAAGAUUGACAUAUGGGUUCAAGAAAUGGAAAGGAAUGGAAUUCCACAAGAUAAGUACACGAUGAGAAACAGAACGGCUGCUGCUGUUGCAGCAUCUGACAUAUCUGAGAUGGAAAGGAUCUUGAAUUAGAUCUAAGACAACUCAAAUUUAUUGGUUGAAUGGAAAGAAUAUUCAAUUGCAGCAAGUGGGUAUCUGAAUGUUGGGAUGAUGGAGAAAGCUUUGCUGAUGCUAAAGAAGAUGGAGAAUGUGAUGCCCCUUCAAAGAAGGAAACUAGCAUUUGAGUUUCUUCUCAAUCUUUAUGCAAAAACUAACAAUAAAAAUGAACUUUACAGAAUUUGGAACACAUACAAGCCAUCAGAUGCACUAGUGGAUACAUCAUAUUGCCACAUGAUUACUGCUCUAGCGAAGCUGGAUGAUCAUGAUGGAGCUGAGAAGAUAUUUGGGGAGUGGGAGUUACAGUGCACCAUUUAUGAUUUACGGGUAUUAAAUAGGCUUCUGGUUCCUUAUUGCAAUAAGGGCCUUCUUGAUCAGGCUAAUUCAGUUGUAAACAAGGCUGUGGAAGGAAGAACGCCAUAUGCCAGCACAUGGAAUGUUUGAGCUAUGGGGUUUAUGGAGCAUAAUCAGAUGCCCAAGGCAGUUGAGAUGUUGAAGAAGGCAAUGUCCGUUGGAACAAGAGGGUGGAGGCCAAGGUCCAUGGUAUUUGCAGCCUGUCUGGAUUACUUGGAAGAGCAAGGAGAUGGAAGAGGAAUGGAGGAGAUGAUAUGUUUAUUGAAGAACUCAGGGCCUUUGACAAGGGAUAUGGAUUAUAGAUUGCUGAGGUGUCGCAUCCAGACAGUUUCUGAGAUUGUUGAUCAGAUGAAAGUGGAUGGUUUUGAUGCUGACAAAGAAAC
This 1619-nucleotide long non-coding RNA is filed under the name Theobroma cacao (cacao). RNAcentral describes it as "long non-coding RNA (TCAC_LNC000825)". The record is from RNAcentral. Lineage: Eukaryota; Viridiplantae; Streptophyta; Magnoliopsida; Malvales; Malvaceae.